RNAcentral lists this ribosomal RNA (253 nucleotides) under uncultured bacterium. RNAcentral describes it as "partial 16S ribosomal RNA". It matches the Rfam family "Bacterial small subunit ribosomal RNA", at positions 524 to 776 of the family's 1533-position model. The record is from RNAcentral.
UACGUAGGGUGCGAGCGUUAAUCGGAAUUACUGGGCGUAAAGCGUGCGUAGGCGGUUUUGUAAGCCAGAUGUGAAAGCCCCGGGCUUAACCUGGGAAUGGCAUUUGGGACUGCAAGGCUUGAGUGCGGCAGAGGAGACUGGAAUUCCUGGUGUAGCAGUGAAAUGCGUAGAUAUCAGGAGGAAUACCGAUGGCGAAGGCAGGUCUCUGGGCUGACACCGACGCUUCUGCACGAAAGCGUGGGGAGCAAACAGG